RNAcentral lists this ribosomal RNA (270 nucleotides) under uncultured bacterium. RNAcentral's name for it is "partial 16S ribosomal RNA". It matches the Rfam family "Bacterial small subunit ribosomal RNA", at positions 29 to 324 of the family's 1533-position model. The record is from RNAcentral.
AGCGAACGCUGGCGGCAGGCCUAACACAUGCAAGUCGAGCGCCCGUAGCAAUACGGGAGCGGCAGACGGGAGAGUAACACGUGGGAACGCGCCCUUCGGUUCGGAAUAACUCAGGGAAACUUGAGCUAAUACCGGAUACGCCCUUACGGGGAAAGAUUUAUUGCCGAAGGAACGGCCCGCGUCCGAUUAGCUAGUUGGUGAGGUAAUGGCUCACCAAGGCGACGAUCGGUAGCUGGUCUGAGAGGAUGACCAGCCUCACUGGGACUGAGA